CGCGCCUAACACAUGCAAGUCGAACGAGCGAGAGAGAGCUUGCUUUCUCAAGCGAGUGGCGAACGGGUGAGUAACGCGUGAGGAACCUGCCUCAAAGAGGGGGACAACAGUUGGAAACGACUGCUAAUACCGCAUAAGCCCACGGCUCGGCAUCGAGCAGAGGGAAAAGGAGCAAUCCGCUUUGAGAUGGCCUCGCGUCCGAUUAGCUAGUUGGUGAGGUAACGGCCCACCAAGGCGACGAUCGGUAGCCGGACUGAGAGGUUGAACGGCCACAUUGGGACUGAGACACGGCCCAGACUCCUACGGGAGGCAGCAGUGGGGAAUAUUGCACAAUGGGGGAAACCCUGAUGCAGCGACGCCGCGUGGAGGAAGAAGGUCUUCGGAUUGUAAACUCCUGUUGUUGAGGAAGAUAAUGACGGUACUCAACAAGGAAGUGACGGCUAACUACGUGCCAGCAGCCGCGGUAAAACGUAGGUCACAAGCGUUGUCCGGAAUUACUGGGUGUAAAGGGAGCGCAGGCGGGAAGACAAGUUGGAAGUGAAAUCUAUGGGCUCAACCCAUAAACUGCUUUCAAAACUGUUUUUCUUGAGUAGUGCAGAGGUAGGCGGAAUUCCCGGUGUAGCGGUGGAAUGCGUAGAUAUCGGGAGGAACACCAGUGGCGAAGGCGGCCUACUGGGCACCAACUGACGCUGAGGCUCGAAAGUGUGGGUAGCAAACAGGAUUAGAUACCCUGGUAGUCCACACCGUAAACGAUGAUUACUAGGUGUUGGAGGAUUGACCCCUUCAGUGCCGCAGUUAACACAAUAAGUAAUCCACCUGGGGAGUACGACCGCAGGGUUGAAACUCAAAGGGAUUGACGGGGGCCCGCACAAGCAGUGGAGUAUGUGGUUUAAUUCGACGCAACGCGAAGAACCUUACCAAGUCUUGACAUCCUGCGACGCACAUAGAAAUAUGUGUUUCCUUCGGGACGCAGAGACAGGUGGUGCAUGGUUGUCGUCAGCUCGUGUCGUGAGAUGUUGGGUUAAGUCCCGCAACGAGCGCAACCCUUACUGUCAGUUACUACGCAAGAGGACUCUGGCAGGACUGCCGUUGACAAAACGGAGGAAGGCGGGGAUGACGUCAAAUCAUCAUGCCCUUUAUGACUUGGGCUACACACGUACUACAAUGGCGUUAAACAAAGAGAAGCAAGACCGCGAGGUGGAGCAAAACUCAGAAACAACGUCCCAGUUCGGACUGCAGGCUGCAACUCGCCUGCACGAAGUCGGAAUUGCUAGUAAUCGUGGAUCAGCAUGCCACGGUGAAUACGUUCCCGGGCCUUGCACACACCGCCCGUC
RNAcentral lists this ribosomal RNA (1334 nucleotides) under uncultured bacterium. RNAcentral's name for it is "bacterial SSU rRNA". It matches the Rfam family "Bacterial small subunit ribosomal RNA", at positions 43 to 1398 of the family's 1533-position model. The record is from RNAcentral.